RNAcentral lists this ribosomal RNA (405 nucleotides) under bacterium. RNAcentral describes it as "partial 16S ribosomal RNA". It matches the Rfam family "Bacterial small subunit ribosomal RNA", at positions 355 to 776 of the family's 1533-position model. The record is from RNAcentral.
UAAGGAAUAUUGCGCAAUGGGGGAAACCCUGACGCAGCAACGCCGCGUGGAGGAUGACACUUUUCGGAGCGUAAACUCCUUUUAUCAGGAAAGAAUAAUGACGGUACCUGAUGAAUAAGCACCGGCUAACUCCGUGCCAGCAGCCGCGGUAAUACGGGGGGUGCAAGCGUUACUCGGAAUCACUGGGCGUAAAGGACGCGUAGGCGGAUUAUCAAGUCUUUUGUGAAAUCUAGUGGCUUAACCACUAAACUGCUUAGGAAACUGAUAGUCUAGAGUAGGGGAGAGGUAGAUGGAAUUCUUGGUCUAGGGGUAAAAUCCGUAGAGAUCAAGAAGAAUACCCAUUGCGAAAGCGAUCUGCUGGAACCUAACUGACGCUGAGGCGUGAAAGCGUGGGUAGCAAACAGG